CCUACGGGGUGCAGCAGUGGGGGAUAUUGCACAAUGGGGGAAACCCUGAUGCAGCGACGCCGCGUGGGUGAAGAAGCGCCUCGGCGCGUAAAGCCCUGUCAGCAGGGAAGAAAAUGACGGUACCUGAAGAAGAAGCCCCGGCUAACUACGUGCCAGCAGCCGCGGUAAUACGUAGGGGGCAAGCGUUAUCCGGAUUUACUGGGUGUAAAGGGGGCGCAGACGGCGAUGCAAGCCAGGAGUGAAAGCCCGGGGCCCAACCCCGGGACUGCUCUUGGAACUGCGUGGCUAGAGUGCAGGAGGGGCAGGCGGAAUUCCUGGUGUAGCGAUGAAAUGCGUAGAGAUCAGGAGGAACACCGGUGGCGAAGGCGGCCUGCUGGACUGCAACUGACGUUGAGGCCCGAAAGCGUGGGGAGCAAACAGGAUUAGAUACCCCAGUAGUC
RNAcentral lists this ribosomal RNA (440 nucleotides) under uncultured bacterium. Its description in RNAcentral is "partial 16S ribosomal RNA". It matches the Rfam family "Bacterial small subunit ribosomal RNA", at positions 338 to 795 of the family's 1533-position model. The record is from RNAcentral.